CCAGGAAGAGAGGAUGCAUGCCGCUGGUAUCCUCGAUCAGCUUUCUGUCACAGAAUUUGUACACCUGCCUGGCUCCUUCUGCCUUGGAAUGACAUAAUUGUCUGGAAGAGUGCCAGGACAGAUUGGAAAAGGAACUACAAAGCCGGAACACCACUGGCACGGGCCAGCAAUCCAGAGGUGUGUGCUGUGUGCAGAGCUUCUCCAGAGAAAACCUGAACUCCAAAGUCUGCUUGUAACAAUGAUUGCUGUCACAUUCAUCAUAGGAACACAUAGAUAUUAGUGCUGGGGUUGGAACUGGCUUGUUUUCAUCACCCAACAGUCUCUGGAUUUCAAGUUGUCUAAUGUUCUAUAAAUCCCAAGA
This 361-nucleotide long non-coding RNA is filed under the name Cricetulus griseus (Chinese hamster). Its description in RNAcentral is "lncRNA (ENSCGRG00015040024.1)". The record is from RNAcentral. Lineage: Eukaryota; Metazoa; Chordata; Mammalia; Rodentia; Cricetidae.